AAGGGUAUAGUUCAAUGGAAGAACACAUACUUAGCAUGCAUGAGGCUCUGGGUUCAAUCCUCAUCACCCUCC
Molecule: transfer RNA, 72 nt
Filed under: Heterocephalus glaber (naked mole-rat)
Lineage: Eukaryota; Metazoa; Chordata; Mammalia; Rodentia; Bathyergidae
Rfam family: tRNA
About the family: Transfer RNA (tRNA) molecules are approximately 80 nucleotides in length. Their secondary structure includes four short double-helical elements and three loops (D, anti-codon, and T loops).
Source: Rfam by way of RNAcentral